CUCUCCCCUCCCGUCCCGUCCACCCAUAAAUAGCCGCGCAUCCGCUCCACUCCGCUCUCGCUCCAUGCCCACCGUCUCCUCCCUCCACUUUAUUACCCACGUCGCGACGCCGACACCGUCCCGCGCUCCCUCCCCCUGCCGCACCGCACCCACGCUACGCUCUCCAUGUCAUACGCCCACGCCUCACGCCACCGCGGCGGGGGCAUGCCGCCCACGACGGCGCUCGCGGCGAAGGUGGCACUGGCGUCCGCGGCGCUGGCCGCGUUCGCGUCCCUGGCGCGCCUCGCCGUCCCGCGCCUCGUGGCCGUGGCCGCCGCCGUGCUCCCGCGCGCCUGGGCCGCCGCGCGCCUCUGGCUCGUCCCGCCCUACCUCUUCGUCACCGUGCACCUCAUCAUCCUCGUCAUCUGGAAGCUGUCCGACCACAGGCACUCCCAGCAGCAGGCCGCCGCCGCCCAGCACAAGGACGACCCCUGGCCGCCGGCCGCGGAGCUCCCGUCCACCGCCGCCGCCGCCACGCCGGCCGUCAGAGCCAAGGAGGAGCAGUACGGCCAGCCCCUGCCAGCUGAGUUCUCCUCCCCCUCCCCGGACUCCGGCGGCGGCGGCUCCUGCGUCACCACCGAGUCCGACGAGGACGCCUCCUCGCCUUCCCCGGACGUGCUGUGGCGUAGCCUGGCGCCGGCGCCGCAGGAGCGCGCGGUCGUCCUGGAGCGGGAACCCUCGCUGCCGCCGUCGCAGGCCGUGGACGGCGACGACGACGACGACGACCUGGACGCCACGUGGAACGCCAUCAUGCAGAAGACGCGCCCGGCGGCUCCGGCUGCUACCCCUCCAGCUCCAGCUCCCGCUCCCGCCGCGCACCAUCAGCAACGGCCGCCACCGAGGGCCCGGGACCCGUCGGUCGGCGCCGAGGAGAUGAACCGGCGGUUCGACGACUUCAUCAAGAAGAACCGCAACUCCUUCGGCAGGCAAUAGGCGACCUCCGCUCCGUUACGAUCCGGCCACCUCCCCGCCGUACGAUGCGUAUAUACAGUACAAGGAGACAUGCAUCUUUGGUUUUCCAUCUCGGUGUGCCGCCGGAGCUAGCGGAGGGAGGCGGGUCAUUCGAUUCGCCAUGCUUAGGGUUGGAGAAUCACUAGUAUAUACAGAGGAAGAAUCCGUUCUUGAUCAAGAUUAGUCGGCUGCUUGGUUAAUUAGCCGUGAUGAUGAGCUGCUGUCGUGUUCGAUCGGAGGUUGGCGUGGCCGCUUUCCGCAAGGAAAGCAAGGAAUUGGUCGGCUUCUGCGCUACCAGUCCGGUCCACUUCGUUCACCUUUCCCUUUCGGUGCCACCAACAUCUAACUGUACAUGCAUGCAUGCUUGCUUGCUUAGUGCUGACCGCCGCUAAUGCGCUGGAUAUUUCUGGGAGCUAGUGGAAACGAAAGUGUACUCUGAAUUUCAAGUUACUGUCAAAAGUAAGAUCCUGAUCUGACGAAGAUGUACUAGG
Molecule: unclassified non-coding RNA, 1481 nt
Filed under: Zea mays
Lineage: Eukaryota; Viridiplantae; Streptophyta; Magnoliopsida; Poales; Poaceae
Description: misc RNA Zm00001eb066280
Source: RNAcentral